Molecule: ribosomal RNA, 2923 nt
Filed under: Klebsiella pneumoniae
Lineage: Bacteria; Pseudomonadati; Pseudomonadota; Gammaproteobacteria; Enterobacterales; Enterobacteriaceae
Also listed under: 13 other names
Description: bacterial LSU rRNA
Rfam family: Bacterial large subunit ribosomal RNA
Source: RNAcentral
GGGUUGUGAGGUUAAGCGACUAAGCGUACACGGUGGAUGCCCUGGCAGUCAGAGGCGAUGAAGGACGUGCUAAUCUGCGAAAAGCGUCGGUAAGGUGAUAUGAACCGUUACAGCCGGCGAUGUCCGAAUGGGGAAACCCAGUGCAAUUCGUUGCACUAUCGUUAACUGAAUACAUAGGUUAACGAGGCGAACCGGGGGAACUGAAACAUCUAAGUACCCCGAGGAAAAGAAAUCAACCGAGAUUCCCCCAGUAGCGGCGAGCGAACGGGGAGCAGCCCAGAGUCUGAAUCAGCUUGUGUGUUAGUGGAACGGUCUGGAAAGUCCGACGGUACAGGGUGAUAGUCCCGUACACCAAAAUGCACAGGUUGUGAACUCGAAGAGUAGGGCGGGACACGUGGUAUCCUGUCUGAAUAUGGGGGGACCAUCCUCCAAGGCUAAAUACUCCUGACUGACCGAUAGUGAACCAGUACCGUGAGGGAAAGGCGAAAAGAACCCCGGCGAGGGGAGUGAAAAAGAACCUGAAACCGUGUACGUACAAGCAGUGGGAGCACCUUCGGGUGUGACUGCGUACCUUUUGUAUAAUGGGUCAGCGACUUAUAUUCUGUAGCAAGGUUAACCGUAUAGGGGAGCCGCAGGGAAACCGAGUCUUAACUGGGCGUUAAGUUGCAGGGUAUAGACCCGAAACCCGGUGAUCUAGCCAUGGGCAGGUUGAAGGUUGGGUAACACUAACUGGAGGACCGAACCGACUAAUGUUGAAAAAUUAGCGGAUGACUUGUGGCUGGGGGUGAAAGGCCAAUCAAACCGGGAGAUAGCUGGUUCUCCCCGAAAGCUAUUUAGGUAGCGCCUCGUGAACUCAUCUUCGGGGGUAGAGCACUGUUUCGGCUAGGGGGUCAUCCCGACUUACCAACCCGAUGCAAACUACGAAUACCGAAGAAUGUUAUCACGGGAGACACACGGCGGGUGCUAACGUCCGUCGUGAAGAGGGAAACAACCCAGACCGCCAGCUAAGGUCCCAAAGUCAUGGUUAAGUGGGAAACGAUGUGGGAAGGCACAGACAGCCAGGAUGUUGGCUUAGAAGCAGCCAUCAUUUAAAGAAAGCGUAAUAGCUCACUGGUCGAGUCGGCCUGCGCGGAAGAUGUAACGGGGCUAAACCAUGCACCGAAGCUGCGGCAGCGACACUAUGUGUUGUUGGGUAGGGGAGCGUUCUGUAAGCCUGCGAAGGUGUGCUGUGAGGCAUGCUGGAGGUAUCAGAAGUGCGAAUGCUGACAUAAGUAACGAUAAAGCGGGUGAAAAGCCCGCUCGCCGGAAGACCAAGGGUUCCUGUCCAACGUUAAUCGGGGCAGGGUGAGUCGACCCCUAAGGCGAGGCCGAAAGGCGUAGUCGAUGGGAAACAGGUUAAUAUUCCUGUACUUGGUGUUACUGCGAAGGGGGGACGGAGAAGGCUAUGUUAGCCGGGCGACGGUUGUCCCGGUUUAAGCAUGUAGGCUGGUUAUCCAGGCAAAUCCGGAUAAUCAAGGCUGAGGUGUGAUGACGAGGCACUACGGUGCUGAAGUAACAAAUGCCCUGCUUCCAGGAAAAGCCUCUAAGCAUCAGGUAACAUCAAAUCGUACCCCAAACCGACACAGGUGGUCAGGUAGAGAAUACCAAGGCGCUUGAGAGAACUCGGGUGAAGGAACUAGGCAAAAUGGUGCCGUAACUUCGGGAGAAGGCACGCUGGUGUGUAGGUGAAGUCCCUGCGGAUGGAGCUGAGACCAGUCGAAGAUACCAGCUGGCUGCAACUGUUUAUUAAAAACACAGCACUGUGCAAACACGAAAGUGGACGUAUACGGUGUGACGCCUGCCCGGUGCCGGAAGGUUAAUUGAUGGGGUUAUCCGUAAGGAGAAGCUCUUGAUCGAAGCCCCGGUAAACGGCGGCCGUAACUAUAACGGUCCUAAGGUAGCGAAAUUCCUUGUCGGGUAAGUUCCGACCUGCACGAAUGGCGUAAUGAUGGCCAGGCUGUCUCCACCCGAGACUCAGUGAAAUUGAACUCGCUGUGAAGAUGCAGUGUACCCGCGGCAAGACGGAAAGACCCCGUGAACCUUUACUAUAGCUUGACACUGAACAUUGAGCCUUGAUGUGUAGGAUAGGUGGGAGGCUUUGAAGCGUGGACGCCAGUCUGCGUGGAGCCAACCUUGAAAUACCACCCUUUAAUGUUUGAUGUUCUAACGUUGGCCCCUGACCGGGGUUGCGGACAGUGUCUGGUGGGUAGUUUGACUGGGGCGGUCUCCUCCCAAAGCGUAACGGAGGAGCACGAAGGUUAGCUAAUCCUGGUCGGACAUCAGGAGGUUAGUGCAAUGGCAUAAGCUAGCUUGACUGCGAGCGUGACGGCGCGAGCAGGUGCGAAAGCAGGUCAUAGUGAUCCGGUGGUUCUGAAUGGAAGGGCCAUCGCUCAACGGAUAAAAGGUACUCCGGGGAUAACAGGCUGAUACCGCCCAAGAGUUCAUAUCGACGGCGGUGUUUGGCACCUCGAUGUCGGCUCAUCACAUCCUGGGGCUGAAGUAGGUCCCAAGGGUAUGGCUGUUCGCCAUUUAAAGUGGUACGCGAGCUGGGUUUAGAACGUCGUGAGACAGUUCGGUCCCUAUCUGCCGUGGGCGCUGGAGAAUUGAGGGGGGCUGCUCCUAGUACGAGAGGACCGGAGUGGACGCAUCACUGGUGUUCGGGUUGUCAUGCCAAUGGCACUGCCCGGUAGCUAAAUGCGGAAGAGAUAAGUGCUGAAAGCAUCUAAGCACGAAACUUGCCCCGAGAUGAGUUCUCCCUGAGACUAUAAGUCUCCUGAAGGAACGUUAAAGACGAUGACGUUGAUAGGCCGGGUGUGUAAGCGCAGCGAUGCGUUGAGCUAACCGGUACUAAUGAACCGUGAGGCUUAACCUUACAACGCCGAAG